This 1013-nucleotide small RNA is filed under the name uncultured bacterium. Its description in RNAcentral is "bacterial SSU rRNA". The stretch from base 1 to 476 matches the Rfam family "Bacterial small subunit ribosomal RNA", at positions 1045 to 1533 of the family's 1533-position model. The record is from RNAcentral.
AUGGCUGUCGUCAGCUCGUGUCGUGAGAUGUUGGGUUAAGUCCCGCAACGAGCGCAACCCUUACUUUUAGUUGCCAUCAUUUAGUUGGGCACUCUAAAAGAACUGCCAGUGAUAAGCUGGAGGAAGGUGGGGAUGACGUCAAGUCCUCAUGGCCCUUACGUGUUGGGCUACACACGUGCUACAAUGGUACUUACAAUGAGAUGCAAAGAGGCGACUCUAAGCUAAUCCCAAAAAGGUACCUCAGUUCGGAUUGUACUCUGCAACUCGAGUACAUGAAGCUGGAAUUACUAGUAAUCGUGGAUCAGCGCGCCACGGUGAAUACGUUCCCGGGUCUUGUACACACCGCCCGUCACACCAUGGAAGUUGGUUACACCUUAAGGCAAAGCUUAAAACCUUUGACUACGGUACGAUCAGCGACUGGGGUGAAGUCGUAACAAGGUAGCCGUAGGGGAACCUGCGGCUGGAUCACCUCCUUUCUAAGGAAAUCGAAAAUAUUAAAACAAUUAUUUUCGAUUUAAAAAAAACCGGUAAUGUGACCGUCCUCAUUUCUCUUCUUUAAUGUCUCUGCUUACAUGUAAUUUCAAGGGGCCGGUAGCUCAGGUGGUUAGAGCGCACCCCUGAUAAGGGUGAGGUCGGAAGUUCGAAUCUUCCUCGGCCCACCAAUAUUGCGGGGGAUUAGCUCAGCUGGGAGAGCGCCUGAUUUGCAUUCAGGAGGUCAGCGGUUCGAUCCCGCUAUCCUCCACCAAAUUUGAGACAUUUAGCUUUUUAAAAUUGUAAAUAUUAUUAAUAUCAAUAUCUAUAUCCGAUUGUUUUCAGAUAUUUUUUUGAAAACAAUCAAAACAAAAAUUUGAAUUUUACACAGAAAAUUUUUUUCUGUGCAUAAAUCAAGCGUUUAAGGGCGUUUGGCGGAUGCCUUGGCACUGAAAGACGAUGAAGGACGUGGUAUACUGCGAUAAGUUUCGGGGAGCUGUAUGCAGGCUUUGAUCCGAGAAUUUCCGAAUGGGGAAACCCGG